UACGUAGGGAGCAAGCGUUGUUCGGAUUUACUGGGCGUAAAGGGCGCGUAGGCGGCGCGACAAGUCACUUGUGAAAUCUCCGGGCUUAACUCGGAACGGUCAAGUGAAACUGUCAUGCUAGAGUGCAGAAGGGGCAAUCGGAAUUCUUGGUGUAGCGGUGAAAUGCGUAGAUAUCAAGAGGAACACCUGAGGUGAAGACGGGUUGCUGGGCUGACACUGACGCUGAGGCGCGAAAGCCAGGGGAGCAAACAGG
RNAcentral lists this ribosomal RNA (253 nucleotides) under uncultured bacterium. RNAcentral's name for it is "partial 16S ribosomal RNA". It matches the Rfam family "Bacterial small subunit ribosomal RNA", at positions 524 to 776 of the family's 1533-position model. The record is from RNAcentral.